CCCUCUUUCUCCUCCCAUCUCUUCCCUCCUCCUCUUCCACUCUCCUUCCUUCCUUGCUCUUUCUUUCCUUCCUUUCCUCUUUCUUUCCUUCCUUUCCUCCUUCUUUUCCUCCUUCCUUUCCUCCUUCCUUCCUUUCUUUCUUUCUCCCUUUCCCUUUCCUUUCCUUUCCUUUCCUUUCCUUUCCUUUCCUUUCCUUUCCUUUCCUUUCCUUUCCUUUCCUUUCCUUUCCUUUCCUUUCCUUUCCUUUCCUUUCCUUCUUAGAACUGAUACUAAGAAUGGGUUACAAGAAGAGUAAUAAAAGGACUUCAGCAAUUGGAGCCAAGUAACUUACCUAGAGUCUCACAGCUAGGAAGUGAAUGAAACCACAUUUGAACCAAGGACUUCCUAUCUUCAGGCAUGGUUCUCUAAACACAGAGCCACCUGGCUGCCCAAAAUUGAUCUUUGUCUUUUAAUAUGAAGGCCAGAAUUGAAUGACCCCCCAGCUUAAGACUUAGUGGAAAAAUCUGUAUAAUGUCAAUAAUAUGUAUAGGACCU
Molecule: long non-coding RNA, 534 nt
Filed under: Monodelphis domestica (gray short-tailed opossum)
Lineage: Eukaryota; Metazoa; Chordata; Mammalia; Didelphimorphia; Didelphidae
Description: lncRNA (ENSMODG00000040178.1)
Source: RNAcentral